RNAcentral lists this long non-coding RNA (220 nucleotides) under Elaeis guineensis (African oil palm). RNAcentral describes it as "long non-coding RNA (EGUI_LNC079765)". The record is from RNAcentral. Lineage: Eukaryota; Viridiplantae; Streptophyta; Magnoliopsida; Arecales; Arecaceae.
UGGCUAAGAGAUGAAUGAAAAAUGAAUGGAAGAAAAUAAUACAGGGAACAAGACUUGGUCAGGAGAAUUUUUUUAAAAUAAAAAAUUAUUUUUUAUUGAUUAUUAGCGAUGAAAAAAAAUUCAUCACUAGUUAUGUAAUUAGCGAUGAAAUUCUAUAUUUUUAUCGUAAAUAAUAUUUUUUCGGAGGGGUAAACUUUUUCAGUAAAUUUUUUUUUGACGG